This 81-nucleotide small RNA is filed under the name Flavobacterium hercynium. RNAcentral describes it as "Flavo-1 RNA". It matches the Rfam family "Flavo-1 RNA". Lineage: Bacteria; Pseudomonadati; Bacteroidota; Flavobacteriia; Flavobacteriales; Flavobacteriaceae. The record is from Rfam by way of RNAcentral.
AUUUAGCCCCGAUAGAAGCGGUAUCCUUUUUCUGUCCGCUAAUGCGGAAAGAAAAAGAUUUAGCGGAUAGCGGGACGAAUG